UAUAGCUCAGUGAUAAUGCUCUUGCCUGGCAUGCAAGAGGCCCUGGGUUUAAUCCCCAGUA
RNAcentral lists this transfer RNA (61 nucleotides) under Urocitellus parryii (Arctic ground squirrel). Its description in RNAcentral is "Spermophilus parryii (Arctic ground squirrel) tRNA". It matches the Rfam family "tRNA", at positions 6 to 65 of the family's 71-position model. From Rfam's summary of the family: Transfer RNA (tRNA) molecules are approximately 80 nucleotides in length. Their secondary structure includes four short double-helical elements and three loops (D, anti-codon, and T loops). Lineage: Eukaryota; Metazoa; Chordata; Mammalia; Rodentia; Sciuridae. The record is from Rfam by way of RNAcentral. RNAcentral also lists the same sequence under 1 other name.